RNAcentral lists this small nucleolar RNA (217 nucleotides) under Propithecus coquereli (Coquerel's sifaka). RNAcentral describes it as "Small nucleolar RNA U3 (ENSPCOG00000010287.1)". It matches the Rfam family "Small nucleolar RNA U3". From Rfam's summary of the family: Small nucleolar RNAs (snoRNAs) are involved in the processing and modification of rRNA in the nucleolus. There are two main classes of snoRNAs: the box C/D class, and the box H/ACA class. Lineage: Eukaryota; Metazoa; Chordata; Mammalia; Primates; Indriidae. The record is from Rfam by way of RNAcentral.
AAGAUUAUAUUUUCAGGGGAUCGUUUCUACAGUUUGUUACUAGAGAAGUUUCUCUGAAUGUGUAGAACACCAGAAACUACGAGGAGAAGACGCAGCCUUCUCUCCUGAGCAUGAAACUGGCUCCUGGUGUUGCUUCCUUGCAGCUGCCAUUUACCACUGAUGGUGGUUCUUCUCUUUCUUUGGGAGAGUAAGAAGGAGAGAAUGCAGUCUGAGUGGG